This 1488-nucleotide long non-coding RNA is filed under the name Rattus norvegicus (Norway rat). RNAcentral's name for it is "long non-coding RNA NONRATT018218". The record is from RNAcentral. Lineage: Eukaryota; Metazoa; Chordata; Mammalia; Rodentia; Muridae.
GUACAGCAUGAAUACAGUGCGUGCGUGUGCCACAGCGUAUGUGUAGAGGUCAGAAGGUAACAUCUGGCGUCACAGUCCACCUUACUAGAGACAGGGUCUCCCUGCCACUUCUCUGCUGUCCAGGAUAGUUUGCCUGCAAGCUUCUCUGUGGAUUCCUGUCUGCUGCCCAUCUUCCUGCAGGGGGAAUGCUCAUGCCUUUUGGGGGGUGGGAGGAGAGUCCCCAGCUUUUGAGGCAAGCAUGCUUACCUGCUGAAAAAGAUUUGCAUUUAAAACCCAGGAAAUCGCAGGCUUCACAACAUUAAGCACAGCAGCUAUAAUGGAGAGUGAUCUAGUGAUCUUUAAACUUCCAAGGCAGAAGGAGAGAGAGACUAAAGGAGGGUAGAUAGUCACUGGUUCAAUUUUUAGCUUUAAUUCCUCAAAAGGGCCACUUGUUUACUAAAUUUCCAGUAGAGGUGACUGAGCCAGGUGUGGUGGCCGAUGUCUGAAGCCAUGGCUCUUGAGGGGCUUCCCCAAGAGGACUGAUGGAACACACAAGUUGGAGCCCAGCUUGGCUAACACAGUAAGACAUCAAAUGGAGGGAUGUGAGGCUCUACACCAGUUUUUCUUGGUGUAGACUUCUCAGUCUACCGAAGAGUCAACCAUGUAGGUCAUGACCUAAGAAUCACUUGGAUCCUGCCAAACAUCUGUGUAAGGAUUGAUCGUCAUGGGCCUCCAUUGCUGGCUCUUCUUUCUGCUUCUGGAUGCCAGAGUGCCUGAGGGGACAGUCCCACAUCUCCCCCGCAUCCACAUUCUCCUCCAAUAGCACCUUAAGUGAUGCCAUGUAGUCCCAGGAUAUUAAAUCCCACACUCCACAUGUCUUUCUGAAGCCGGGACCGCCCUGUGAUCUGCAAACUGAGUGGACUUCCCAGGUGCUGGGGAAGUGUUCCAACACAUCUGAACAAACUCAGGAUUGUCCCAACACCAGCCCUCCUCCUCCUCCCUCUUCCCAUAUGUCCCAGUCUUGGUGAGACGAAUGUAUUUGUGUCACACCCUCUCAGCCAAGAUUCAGAGACCAUCCCAGAUGAGGGGACAGACCUGUAAGAGCCAGACAGUGUCUUCUGGAGCGACAGGCACCUGCACUCAGGAACUCAGAGCUACAGCUGCCCACACAAGAUCAAGCCAGUCAACUCUCGAGCAUGGACACGGGGCCCCAGGCCCACUCCUAGUUUAGAAGCCACAGCAGUCGCAGGCGGAGCAAGUCAGCUUUCUUCAGGCCUAGGACAAGCCACAGUGGACAGCCUUCUACCCAUGUGCACGCAGCGAUGAAUGCUAAAUGGACUCACUUGGGUUACAUAGUCAAAUGUAUAGAGAGAGAAGGGGGGACAUAAACAAUAGAGAAGCGGGGAGGACUCAGGAGGAGUUAGAGAGGGGCAUGAGAGGUGGAUGUGACAAUCAAAAUCUUCAUGCAUGAAGGAAAAAAAUAGAAAAAUUAAAAAUUCCACACUGUAA